UGGUGCGGAGUCUAGUUGGAGGCCAGUAUCUAGUGCAGUGCCUCAGGGGUCAGUGCUGGGGCCAAUAUUAUUCAAUAUAUUCAUUAACGAUUUAGACGAGGGAAUAGAGUGUACUAUCAGCAAGUCUGCUGAUGACACUAAGCUGGGAGGUGUGGCUGACACACCAGAAGGCUGUGCUGCCAUCCAGAGACCUGGACAGGCUGGAGAGUUGGGCGGGGAAUAACCUGAUGAAAUUUAACAAGGGAAAGUGUAGAGUCCUGCAUCUGGGCAGGAACAACCCCAGGUUCCAGUGUAGGUUGGGAAAUUACAUAUUAGAGAGCAGUGUAGGGGAAAGGGACCUGAGGGUCCUGGUGGACAACAGGAUGACCAUGAGCCAGCACUGUGCCCUUGUGGCCAGGAAGGCCAAUGGUACCUGGGGUGUAUUAGAAGGGGGGUGGUUAGUAGAUCGAGAGAGGUCCUCCUUCCCCUCUACUCCGCCCUGGUGAGACCACAUCUGGAAUAUUGUGUCCAGUUGUGGCCCCUCGGUUCCAGAAGGACAGGGAACUGCUGGAGAGGGUCCAGCAUAGGGCAACCAAGAUGAUUAAGGGAGUGGAGCAUCUCCCUUAUGAAGAAAGGCUGGGGGAGCUGGGUCUCUUUAGUUUGGAGAAGAGGAGACUGAGGGGGGACUCAUUCAUGUUUACAGAUAUAUAAAGGGUGAGUGUCAGGAGGAUGGAGCCAGGUUCUUCUUGGUGACAACCAGUGACAGGACAAGGGGUAAUGGGUACAAACUGGAACACAGGGGGUUCCACUUAAAUCUGAGAAGAAACUUCUCAGUGAGGGUGGCAGAGCCUGGCCCAGGCUGCCCAGGGGGGUUGUGGAGUCUCCUUCUCUGCAGACAUUCCAACCCGCCUGGACACCUUCCUGUGUAACCUCAUCUGGGUGUUCCUGCUCCAUGGGGGGAUUGGACUGGAUGAGCUUUCCAGUUCCCUUCCAACCCCUGACAUUCUGGGAUUCUAUGGAUCAUCCUCCACGUGUUUUGCAGGUGCUCAGAAAGCAUUUACCGUGUCGUUGAUUAACGAUGGGUGCGUCUCUUGUAAGUGAAUCACGGUGUGCGUGAAUUGAGCAGCCUCUCCUCACUCUCCAUUCCCAGCUGCGCUCUCUCAGGGCAGCCCCACUGGGGCCGAUGCCCAACGAGGAUAUUGACGUCGGCAACUUAGAAGUGCUGGAAAAAUCACGCAGUUUCAGUCGGUGCUUGAGGCUGGCGGAGAAGGAGCAGGGAGCCGCGCUGGGGGCAGACGGCCCGGCAGCACAGCAGCCCCAGCCAGAGCCAAGCCCGACAUCAGCCUGCCGCGUGAGAAGCUGCUGCGGGCAAAGGAAAUCAAGACAAGAAAGAAGAUCCCGAGGGAGAAGCGUCAGAAUGCGGAGAUGGAAAGCGCAGCUCGUCUCCGGACAGGUCUGUGUCCUGCCACCCCCUCCCCGCCCCGGCCACGCUGGGUCCCCCGGUGUCACCUCCAGCGUUUCCCUCUCCUCGCAGCGCUGAUCCCCCUCGACGAGGUCAGAGCUGAGCGGGAGAAGAGCAGCGGCCCGUUCCACAAGCAGCGCGUGGCCGAGCACUGCGCGGUGUUUCAUGACUUGUUCCGAGGGGCCACGUUCCCCCCGGGUCACCUUGAGGGUGGAGUACAGGCAGGCAGACGAGCACGCCGUGCCGGUCUGCUAUGGGAACAUGGUGACUCCGUCAGAGGAGAGUGGGGGGAGCGGGGCUCAGCCUUGGCCCCACGGGAAGCCUCUGUGGUUUCCUCAGACGCUCCCGAUGGGCAUUGUCUGCCCCGGGGGAUUUUGUUUAGAAGGGUAUUUCCUCUGUGAUGAUCAAAACUUGUUUCUUGGACGUGAUAAAGACAGAGCUUUGCAACAGGAUGGCUGUCUGUCAGCAGGCUGAUGUUUAUUAAGGCUCUGGGGGCUCUCAGGUGGAGCUGGAUGACUUGAUGUUGUGGCCAUGCCUGGUCUGUGCUGGGUCCUGGCCUUGCCCAUGCCCGGUUCGUGUUCUUUGCCGUGGAAAUCAUGAUCUGGUCUUAAUGGAAUCUGUAGUUUCAGUGAUUGACAUUCUGUUUGUGUUCCUCAUUCAGGCUUCCAGUUCCCCCGCAGUGUCAUCUGAGGCAGAUAAAGGCUCCCUGCAGACUGUGCUGCUCACAAAUCCAGGGGAGUAGCAGGUUCUUUACAAAGAACGUGUUUAAACAGGAUCUUUUCCCUCUGCUGUUGGUUCGCUCCUGUUUCUGUUGGCUGCACAGGCAGAGACGAUGCCGUAUCAUCUGAGUAGGGAUGUGUUACAUACGCAGGAAAGAUUGUAGCCUCCCCAAAGCUGCAGCAGUUGAGAGAUGAGACGGGACCGGUGUCGCAGUGUAGUGGAAGCAAUUCCCUGACUCCCGUCUUUAUUUUCUCCCCCGACUCCUCUCCCUCAGCAGUCUGCCUGGCAGGUGCAUUAGCUGCCACUGCUCGCUCUGGGAAACCAAGGUACGGUGAAGCAGCUGACUGAGAAGUCCCUUUAAUCUUGGAAUUACAUCUGUUGAGUUCUUUGCUCCUCAUUUGAAGCUCAUUCCUAGAAGAAUGAGUUACUCUUCUGCUAGGAAAGGAUUGCUGGGUGGUUUUGAGCUGCCCCGUUGGUUCGAAGUGGGUCUGGGUGUUCUCACUUUGGGGUUGAUGCAAACACCGGCCUCAAGAUGUGCCAGGGGAGGUUCAUAUUGGACAUUAGGAAACAUUUCUUCCUGGAAAGGGUUGUACAGUACUGGAACAGGCUGCCCAGGGCAGUGGUGGAGUCACCAUCCUGGAAAGAGUUUAGAAGACGUGUAGAUGAGGUUCUUGUGGACAGGGGUUAGUGCCAGAGUUGGGUUGUGGUUGAACUCGAUGAUCUUGAGGGUCUCUUCCAACCCAAACGACUCUGUGAUCCUAUCACGAAGUCGCCUUUCUCUGUUGCAGAAGGACGUUGAAGGGACGCGCACUCGGAGCACCCGCGCUGGCUGGAGUGAGUACCACACGGCAGAGCCGCGCUGCUGGGCUCGGGGAAAGCCCCGGCGGAGCGGGCAGAAGCUCCUUCAACAGAGCUUGGAAUAAGGAUUUGCUGAGACAGUUCUGUGGUUCUCUGGUGCUCCUGCCAGUAGCUUCUUCACACCCAUGUUCUGGGUCCUGCUAAAGAUGCGGGAGUUCAGGUGUUGCUGCUGUUUGGCUUUCAAAACGCUGAGUGUGAUGUUUUUUCCCAGUGAAAGCAGCCUCUGCUCUCUGUUUGCUUGUCAAACAGGGCGUAGGUUACAUCACAACGUAGCCCAGGGUGAUGUCCAAUCCUGGGGGAAUCUGCUGGCCCUAAGGGCGGGAAAUGAACGGAUAUAUAGUGAAGUAAACUUGUGUGUGUUCAGGACGAACAUCCCAGGCAACGACAUCCAGUCGGGUAAGGAGAUCUGCCGUCACCUGCCCCCCUUCCCCGCCAUGGGCACUGGCUGCCAUCGCUUCAUCUUCCUGCUCUUCAAGCCAGAACCGCCCAUCGACUCCAGCGAGGAUGUUGGCCCGGGCUCUGGUCACUGGGGCUGUUGCUGGGCGGUUCACGCUCUCUUGGCCAGGCUGUUCUUGCGUGUUCUGAUGACAAGGUCGUGACUGCUGGAGGAGAGCAAGUUCCUUGGAGUCUGCAUGGUUGUUCAGGGCUGCUCUGAGAUGUGUGUUGCCUGAAGCCGCAACCCCAGCCCUGCAAGCACUGUGCUGUCCUGUUGCUUUAAACCAGGCUGUUAAGAAAGUGGGUUUUUUUCCUGCCUGGAGCAGGAAUGUGCGGAGGGCUGGGGAAGCUGGGAGAAGUUUUGAUGUGCCUUCGUUUUCCACCUCUGUUUUACAGACUCUGGGGUGCUGUGGGGAAGUAGUUGCCUGCCAGAGUGCUGCAAGAAAAGAGAAUCACCUCAGCUCUUGUGCUUGCGUCUUGUUUCCAGCCACAGGCUCAAGCUGCGAACCUUGAGCUCGUUUGACUUGUGCAGAAAGCACGAGGAUGGCAUGACCCCGGCAGGGCUGGCGUUUCAACAGUGCCAGUGGGACAGCUGCGUUCCCUGGGUCUCCCAUCAGCUCCUCAAUAGGAGAGAGCCCAUGGUUGAAUUUGUGCGGCCGCCCGUUUACCAUCCUCCCCAGGUGAAGUUCCCGCACCACCAGCCCCUGAGGACCUGGACAGAUAGCGAGACACCAAGGAGCCCACGUGCGGCAUUUCCUAGGGCUGGGCCUCCCCUCGAGGUGCUCUGCUCUGCGCUGGCGGGAAGGGCUGGGCUUAUCCUUCCUGUAUUUUGACUCUGGGGACUGUGGCUCCCGCAGGGUGGCGGGACGGGACAACGGACCCUCCUGCCUCGUGCUGGCAUCUCGGGGCAGAGGCGCUUUGUGCCGAGCGUCCUCUCCAUCACCUGCUUGUUCCUGGGGAGCAGAGCCCGACCCCCCUGGCUCCAAGCUCCUUUCAGGCAGUUCAGAGAUCAGAAGGUCUCCCCUCAGCUCCUGUUCUCCAGCUGAACCCCCAGGUCCCUCAGCCGCUCCAUCACACUUGUGCUCCAGCCCCUCACCAGCUCCGUUCCCUUCUCUCCACUCGCUCCAGCACCUCAAGGCCUUGCUUGGUGUGAGGGGCCCAAAACUGCCCCAGGAUUCGCGGUUUUUCCUCCCCAGGUCCCAGCACAGGGACGGUCACUGCCCUGGACCUGCUGGCCACACCAGUGCUGGUACCAGCCAGGAUGUUGGUGGCCUCUUGGCCACCUGGGCACACGCUGGCUCAUGUUCAGCCUCUGUCACCAACAUCCCCAGGUCCUUUUUCCUCUUCCCCAGCCUGCAGCGUUCAUGGGGUUAUUGUGACCCAGGUGCAGGACCCGGCACUUGGCCUUGUUGAACCUCAGAAAAUGGGCCUCAGCUCAUUGAUCCAGCUGGUCCAUAUCCCUCUGUAUGGCAAUCUCACCCUCCAGCAGGUCAACAUUCCCACCCAACUUGGUGUUGGCUGCAAACUUACUGAGGGUGCACUCAAUUCCCUUGUCCAGAUCAUUAAGAGAUUAAACAGAACUGGCCCCAGUACUGAGCCCUGGGGACACCACUCAGGACCAACCACCAACUGGAUUUGAACCUGCCUGUGCAGCAAACAGGGCUCUCCUGGGCGCAGCCCCUCAGCACGGGGCUCAGCAGCUGCCGGGGGAAUAAAAUAUCCCCAGGUCUCCCUACACUUGUUUAUUUUAAAUUUAGCAUGAGCAGUUUCCAAAGCUGCUUUUCUCUCAUACGGCUGCCCCUGGAAGGGCCUGGAAUCCAAGUGUUCCAGCAGCUUUUAAUGACUCUUCCCAGUCACAUCUGACCUUUUACAAAACAAAAAUAACAAGGGCACAGUCGCAUCCUAGUUUUAUUACAACUGACCUGCAGGCAGAAGACAGAACCAUUACAGAAACACUUCGAUCCAUGUGUAAUGUGUUAAAUAGAGGAGGAAGUCAAACCAGGGUACCGGAUAAAAUAUUCUGAAGCUCUUUGGAGCAGUUGUGUUCCUGAGCUCCACUUUACAGACAAUAAGGCAACAUCCCUGCACAUCCGCUUUUUUUAUAGUUUUUAUACAUUUUUCUAUGGUACAAGAAAAAAAAUAACCAGAGUUCACAAUGUACAGUUCUUACACUAUUUUCACAGCUUCUGGACACUAUAUACCUUUUUUUUUUUAAUAAAGAUACAUUGCAAUAAA
Molecule: RNA transcript, 5689 nt
Organism: Columba livia (rock pigeon)
Lineage: Eukaryota; Metazoa; Chordata; Aves; Columbiformes; Columbidae
Exons: 3
Source: RefSeq, a predicted model, not a curated record